This is a long non-coding RNA of Strigops habroptila (Kakapo), 3423 nucleotides long. NCBI's taxonomy places the organism in Eukaryota, Metazoa, Chordata, Aves, Psittaciformes, Psittacidae. The record is from Ensembl.
UUUUUUUUUUUUUUUUUUUUUUUUUUUAAAUGCAUGGUAGCAUGCAUGUUUUACAUGUCCCCCCACUUCCCCUCCCUGGGUUUUUGUUGGCUUUGCAAAUUUUUAAUGGGUUAUGCCUGAAGAACAGUUUGGACAUGUACUGUAUGAAGUACAUUCAGUAAUGCUAGUACAUAGUAUUUAUUCAAUUUGGUCAAAAUCGCAUGUAAUAACUUGCUUUCAAAUGGCAUUGCUUUGGUAGCAAAUAUAAAAUUCCUUCUUAUCUAAUAACUGAAGUUAAUUAGUAAUAGUCACUAAAAACACUUUAAAACCAAAUUCUGGAAGGAAAAAAAAAAAAAAAACCAAAAAGAAAACCCAAGUGUUUAAAAUGUAGCAAGGUAGGAUAUUAUUUUGGACCCAAAUUUGCUUUAAUUUUGAGUGUGUUUGAACAUUAAGGAAGAGUUUCAGAGAAGUGACAUUAAAAAGUCUGUAGAAUAGAAAACAUGCUCAAAUAAUACUGUAGCAUAACAGCUAGAAUCUGAGUUUAACUAAACUUCUUAAAUUUCAGAAAGCCCCUUUAACCAAAUAAAAUGACUCCACCUCACCUUGGAUUAGCUUAGGAUGCCACUUUUGUACAUACGUAUUUUAAUAGGUAUUUGUACAGAUGUGAACUGAUCCGGUAUAACAGAAAGGAAAAUAAUUACAAUAAGGCGGAAAUCAACAGUACUGACAAAAUAGUCCUUUGUAUCAGUAAGUUCUCUCAUGGUAUAUUUUAAAGCAAAUGAACCAUAUUCCUAACACAUAAUAUAGCGCGGAGAUUUGCAGAAGCCAUUUAGGGUAUAAUGUGAGGUAAGAAAAGUUCUGAAUCAGCAUUAACGUUUAUAAUUCAAUUAUUGCAUCAUGGGAUAUAUAAAAAGCAUCUUAAUUCUUGUGGUGUGGUCUUGACAGUUCUUGAAUGUUGACUGAAUGUUUAUACUGAUAGAAUUGUGAGUUUGUCUUUGUUACAUUCCAGUGUUUCUGCCUCUUGGCAUGCUAAAAGCACGGCUUACUUCAUUUGCUCCUUACACACUGAAUAAAGUGCUGUUAGUGUGCUAAACUACAGAAAUAGCCGCUGCUAAGUAAUGGUGUAGAUUUUUUACUUGAAUAUUUUUGUUGUAGGAACCUCAGGAGGUCAGUGUUUACUGUUUUUAUAUAUGCCUUUUUCCUGUUUUAAGUUUCCCUUUUUGAAGGAUUCUGAGAGUGAACAAAAGCUGCUGAUCAACCUAAGUUGGUAACAGAAAGUAUAUUGAAAAUCCUUAUAAAUGCAUCUUUUUGGCAGUUCUAAAUUGCUGUUGAAUUAGUCUUAAGUGUGAAGUUCAAUACUAAAUUUUUUUCAUUACACAUUCAGGAAACAGCUCGUUUCAUUUAGGAGAAAAAUAUCAGAAUAGUUCAUUAUUUUAACCAGUGCAAGCAAAAAUAAUAAAUUUUGUAAAUUUUUUCCAAAGCUUGAUUAUUUUCUAAAUCAAUUAAUAUGUAUAUAUUUAAACUGUAAUAAGCUAAUUCUUAUGCUUUAGUUUAUUGCUCCUUAAAGCUUGUACUCAAAAGAUAACUUUUAGAAGAAUGGAUUUAAAAUUUAUAAUCAUUAUAAUUUUUAAAAGUUCUGAAGUAGCAUAAAUUUUGUAACUAACAAAGUGGGUACACACUGUGAUUUUUUUUUUUUUUUUUUUUUGGACUAUUAUGUUAGCAUCAAUCUUAAUUACUUAGACUGCAUAUAUUGUAUAAUAGUAAAGUGUAUAUUUUAAAACUUCAAGUGGCUUUCCUCAAGUGAAACUAAUUGCUUAGAAAUACUCAAAUACUAGCUUUAUCUCAGGUGAAUACUCUUGUACCCUUUUUUUUUUUCCUUUUUUUAGAACACAUGCUAAUAAAAAUGUGUCUUAAUUAUAUCAGUUCAUGUAUUUCAUUUAGACAGCUCCUCUGUCUUAAACUUACUCUAAAUUAACCUUCUACUGGGGACAAUAAUGACUUUUGCUUCACCUGUUUUAUUCAUAUUGAAUGUAUUAACAGAUAAGGUGCAAAACCAUUCUUCCCCUUAGGAGAAUGCAUCCAUAUUCAAAGAACUGAAAUACUUAUUGGAAAAUGCUUUAAAUGCAACAUUAUAUUGGAAAUGAUUUGUUUCUGAUUUUGUCAAGGGAAGAAGUUGCAACUUAACACUAACUGCUUCAAUACUGUCUUUUUCAUGGGGAUGAUAGAUGCAUAAAGCUUCUAUAUAGGGUCUAAAGAGUAAAUUUUUGUCUUAGAUAAAGGUUAAGCUCUACAGUGAAAUGGCAAAACAUCCUGCAGUUAUCUCAGAUGCUGGUGUAGUUUGCAUACAUAUUUGUUAUAUAUUAAUAAGUAUUUCCAGUAACCUCAUCUUGACUAAAUAAAGCUUGAUCAGUAGCUGUGUGUUUCACUCACCUAUGCAUUCUCCAGAAUGACUUGCAUCCAUCAGUCUUCUAGGUAUUCUUCUCCAAUAGAAAUUUUGUGAUGCAAGCUGAUGCUUGCUUUUUGCACUUAAUGGUUGGAGCAAGCCAGCUUUAGAUUAUUUUAAAUGGGACACUGAGGCGAGUACUCUUGUUGCUCGCCCUGUAGAGUAUAUUCUGCUAGUGUAUCCAGGAUACUUACUCACUUGAAUGUACUUAGAUGAGGGAAGUUUAAAAUGGCUCUACAAGAUGAAUCCCUAUGUGGCAUUGCAGUAUACUUAAAGUAAGCCAAAUCCACAUCUCAAAGAAUUCAGCACUUACAGUACAGUAUCAUUUUUCUAUAAGCUGCUUCUACUGUGCUACUUUUGCCUUGGGUAUCUAUUUCCUUAUCUUGGGUGAGCAACAAAAUUGAGAAGGCCCGGGUGUUUUUUGUGAGGACAGUGAUUAGGGAAAAAAAAAAGAUUGGUAUGAGCACGUUCAUUUGGCUGUUGAAAUCUCCAGUGUAAUAUUAUCUUUUUUUCAUGGGAAGAGAUAGGUAGUUAUGUUGUACAUUGUCUGACUUACUAAUACUAGACAUGUCUAAAAUUUCUAAUUGGAUGCAGUAUACAAAAUAGUUUAAAAUGAAAGGUGACUGGAUCUUUCUGCUGACAACUUAGGUUGUAUGAGUUUUGCUUGAAAGCUUUAAAUCUGAUGCGUCUGUAUCUGCCACAAUGUUGGAAUGUUUCCUUCAAACAUAUCCUCCUGCAACCUCUCAAACUGUACUAAAUUUGAGUGAUAUUUCUUGAAGUCUGCCUAUGUGCUAACAGUACUUCAUUUUAAAUAGAAUAUGGUUUUAAUUUUUGAUAAGCUGCUGAAUUUUAAAGAGUUUUUGGGGCCACCAAAUAUUUUGGAUCAUGCAGAGAAUAUAUAUUGUACUGUAGUAAUUUUGUAUUUACAUUUGUAUGAUGUGACAUAAUAGAUGUGAAUGUUAAUCACUGCUUGACUAUGUUAAUAAAGUUGUUUAAAUAUA